Molecule: non-coding RNA, 258 nt
Organism: Camellia sinensis
Lineage: Eukaryota; Viridiplantae; Streptophyta; Magnoliopsida; Ericales; Theaceae
Source: RefSeq, a predicted model, not a curated record
CCCUGAUAUGCUAUGAACGACAUUGUUACAUGUUGCAGCUGAUAUAUUUCAUUUUAUUGAAUUACAGGCUGGUUCAAUUCAUUGACUCUUAUGAUCCGCCAUUGAAAGGAUUACAUGAAGACUUGAAUUUUGUCAGCCCUCGUAUUGGAGAGGUUUUAGAGGCUGUGGGUCCUAUAAUAUUUCUAUCUACAGAUACCAGGAAGCUGAGAAAUGAGGGUUUUCUGAGUCCAUUUCAUCCUCGAUAUCCUGACAUUCUUA